ACGUCUGAUCGGGAUUAUUGGGCGUAAGCGCAAGUAGGAGGCUCAGCGCGUCUGUUGUUAAAUACCUCUGCUCAACGGAGGAAUCGCAAUGGAUACGGCUGAACUAGAGGGUGUCAGAGGGUUAUAGAACGCACAGUGUAGGGGUGAAAUCCGUUGAUACUGUGCGGAAUACCAAAGGCGAAGGCAUUAACCUGGGACAUUCCUGACUCUGAGUUGCGAAAGCGUGGGGAGCAAAAAGGAUUAGAUACCCUUGUAGUCCACGCCCUAAACGAUGCCUACUAGCUGUCGGAAGUAUCGACCCUUUCGGUGGCGAAGCUAACGCGUUAAGUAGGCCGCCUGGGAAGUACGAUCGCAAGAUUAAAACUCAAAGGAAUAGACGGGGACUCGCACAAGCGGUGGAUUAUGUGGUUUAAUUCGACAACAAACGAGGAACCUUACCAGGGCUUGAAAUUUUGACGAAUGCUAGAAGAAACUUUAGCAGUCUUUUAUUUAUUUAAGGGACGUCAGAACAGGUGCUGCACGGUCGUCGUCAGCUCGUGGCGUGAGUUGUUCCAUUAAGUUGGUAGACGAGCGCAACCCCCGUUGCCAGUUAUAAGUGUCUGGCGAGACUGCCCUGUUUCACAGGGAGGAAGGUGGGGAUGACGUCAGAUCAGCGUGGCCCUUUGAUGCCCUGGGCUACACACAUAAUACAAUGGUCGGGACAAUGGGUUGCCAAGCCGUAAGGCGGAGCUAAUCUCACAAACCCGGCCCCAGUUCGGAUUGAGGGCUGAAACUCGCCCUCAUGAAGCCGGAAUCGCUAGUAAUCGCGGAUCAGCUAUGCCGCGGUGAAUACGUUCUCGAGUCCUGUACUCACCGCCCGUCACACCAAGGAAGUUGGUAGCGAGUAGAGCUUCGACAUUGUCGGGGUGAGCUCGAAAUCAAUAACAGGGGUGAAGUCGUAACAAGGUAAC
Molecule: ribosomal RNA, 950 nt
Filed under: uncultured bacterium
Lineage: Bacteria
Description: bacterial SSU rRNA
Rfam family: Bacterial small subunit ribosomal RNA
Source: RNAcentral